UUAGCCUCUGCAUGUAUGUACACAUGUGUGUAACAACACAUAUACAUACAUGCACAAAUAGUACUAAAUAAAACCAACACA
RNAcentral lists this microRNA precursor (81 nucleotides) under Mesocricetus auratus (golden hamster). RNAcentral describes it as "miRNA (ENSMAUG00000006157.1)". Lineage: Eukaryota; Metazoa; Chordata; Mammalia; Rodentia; Cricetidae. The record is from RNAcentral.